GGUGGAGCGAUUUGUCUGGUUUAUUCCGAUAACGAGCGAGACUCUAGCCUGCUAACUAGUGUCCAGAUAUGUAGGUCUGGCUUACUUCUUAGAGGGAUAAGCGGUGUUUAGCCGCACGAGAUUGAGCGAUAACAGGUCUGUGAUGCCCUUAGAUGUUCGGGGCUGCACGCGCGCUACACUGGAAGAAUCAGCUGGUCCUUCCAUUGCCGAAAGGUAUUGGUAAACCGUUGAAACUCUUCCGUGACCGGGAUAGGGAAUUGUAAUUAUUUCCCUUGAACGAGGAAUUCCUAGUAAGUGUGAGUCAUCAGCUCACGUUGAAUACGUCCCUGCCCUUUGUAC
RNAcentral lists this ribosomal RNA (339 nucleotides) under Nematoda environmental sample. RNAcentral describes it as "SSU rRNA". It matches the Rfam family "Eukaryotic small subunit ribosomal RNA", at positions 1300 to 1665 of the family's 1831-position model. The record is from RNAcentral. Lineage: Eukaryota; Metazoa; Nematoda.